RNAcentral lists this transfer RNA (72 nucleotides) under Caudoviricetes sp. Its description in RNAcentral is "tRNA-Arg". It matches the Rfam family "tRNA". From Rfam's summary of the family: Transfer RNA (tRNA) molecules are approximately 80 nucleotides in length. Their secondary structure includes four short double-helical elements and three loops (D, anti-codon, and T loops). Lineage: Duplodnaviria; Heunggongvirae; Uroviricota; Caudoviricetes. The record is from RNAcentral.
GGCUGGAUGGUGUAAUUGGUAGCACAAUUGCUUCGAGCAAUAGUCAGCAGGUUCAAAUCCUGCUUCCAGUCC